Molecule: small nuclear RNA, 164 nt
Organism: Acomys russatus (golden spiny mouse)
Lineage: Eukaryota; Metazoa; Chordata; Mammalia; Rodentia; Muridae
Product: U1 spliceosomal RNA
Exons: 1
Source: RefSeq, a predicted model, not a curated record
AUAUUUACCUGGCAGGAGAGAUCCCAUGGUCACAAAGCUGGUUUUCCCAGGGUGAGGCUUAGCCAUUGCACUCCGAGUGUGCUGACCUCUGUGAUUUUCCCAAAUGUGGAGAACUCAACUGCAUAAUCUUGUGGUAUUGGGGUCCUCAUUCAUGCUAUCCCCUG